AGUGGCGGACGGGUGAGUAACGCGUGAGAAUCUGCCUUCAGGAUGGGGACAACAGUGGGAAACCACUGCUAAUACCCAAUAUGCCGAAAGGUGAAAAUUAUUUUGCCUGAAGAGGAGCUCGCGUCUGAUUAGCUAGUUGGUGGGAUAAAAGCUUACCAAGGCAACGAUCAGUAGCUGGUCUGAGAGGAUGAGCAGCCACACUGGGACUGAGACACGGCCCAGACUCCUACGGGAGGCAGCAGUGGGGAAUUUUCCGCAAUGGGCGAAAGCCUGACGGAGCAAUACCGCGUGAGGGAGGAAGGCCUUUGGGUUGUAAACCUCUUUUCUCAGGGAAGAAGAUCUGACGGUACCUGAGGAAUAAGCAUCGGCUAACUCCGUGCCAGCAGCCGCGGUAAUACGGAGGAUGCAAGCGUUAUCCGGAAUCAUUGGGCGUAAAGCGUCCGCAGGUGGUUUUUCAAGUCUGCUGUCAAAGACCAGAGCUCAACUCUGGGCAGGCAGUGGAAACUGGGAAACUAGAGUUCAGUAGGGGUAGCGGGAAUUCCCAGUGUAGCGGUGAAAUGCGUAGAUAUUGGGAAGAACAUCGGUGGCGAAGGCGCGCUACUGGACCGAAACUGACACUCAGGGACGAAAGCUAGGGUAGCGAAAGGGAUUAGAUACCCC
Molecule: ribosomal RNA, 660 nt
Filed under: uncultured bacterium
Lineage: Bacteria
Description: bacterial SSU rRNA
Rfam family: Bacterial small subunit ribosomal RNA
Source: RNAcentral